Molecule: small RNA, 121 nt
Filed under: Marmota monax (woodchuck)
Lineage: Eukaryota; Metazoa; Chordata; Mammalia; Rodentia; Sciuridae
Source: RNAcentral
GUUGGGUAUGGUGGCGCAUGCCUGUAAUCCCAAUGGCUCUGGAGGCUGAGACAGGAGGAUCAUGAGUUCAAAGCCUCAGCAAAAGUGAGGUGCUAAGCAACUCAGUGAGACCCUUUCUCUA